GUAGCUCCGUUGGUAGAGCAUGAGGGCCUUAAUCUCAGGGUUGUGGGUUCAAGCGCCACACU
Molecule: transfer RNA, 62 nt
Filed under: Podarcis lilfordi (Lilford's wall lizard)
Lineage: Eukaryota; Metazoa; Chordata; Lepidosauria; Squamata; Lacertidae
Description: tRNA.Lys
Source: RNAcentral